RNAcentral lists this long non-coding RNA (20286 nucleotides) under Gossypium barbadense (sea-island cotton). RNAcentral's name for it is "long non-coding RNA (GBAR_LNC023353)". The record is from RNAcentral. Lineage: Eukaryota; Viridiplantae; Streptophyta; Magnoliopsida; Malvales; Malvaceae.
CCUCUUCUCUUGUCUUUUUCACCUCCUCAAACUCAUCUCCCAAUGCAAUGCCUUGAUGACCAGAGAGCUCCUCUGCUGCAAUUGCAGCAUCAUCUUUACUAUGCCCCUAAUUUUACUUUCUCUUCCAAAUUUGACCUCUGGGACCCCAACACUGAUUGUUGUUCUUGGGAAGGAGUCACUUGUGAUGCUUAUGGCCAUGUCGUUGGCAUUGGUCUUAGUUACAAAAACCUUUCAGGCAGCUUCCACUCCAUAUUCGAUCUCCAUCAUCUUCAACACCUUAAUCUUGCUGGAAACAACUUUAAUACCACUCUGUUUUCCUAUGGGUUUGAUAAACUCCAAAAUCUAACUCAUCUCAACCUUUCAAGCUCAUGUUUCCAUGGCCAAAUUCCAGUGGAGAUCUCAUUCUUAAAAAGGUUAGUCUCUCUUGAUCUAUCCAAUCAAUAUUCCUGUUAUUUGCGAUACUACACCAUUCUUGACCCAUAUAGAGGCGUCUACUACUACUAUCCAUUGCCUUACGAACUUCAACAGCCUCUUAAAUUAGAGAAUCCAAACUUCAAGACAUUAAUCAAGAAUUUGAGGUUUCUCACAGAGCUUUAUUUGGAUGGGGUAAACAUUUCAUCUCAAAGUGCUAAAUGGUGUGAAACCACAUCUCUUGUACUUUCCAACCUGCGUGUGUUGAGUCUGUCAAACUGUGGCUUGAAAGGUCCAUUAUGUUCUUCACUCUCAAGACUCUCUUUUCUUUCCAAACUUAUCCUUGAUUGGAACCCAAUCUCUUAUUUACCUCCCAAUUUCUUGGAAAUUUCCUCUCGUUUGGUUUCUCUCAGUUUGAGGAACUGCAAUUUGAAUGGGCAAUUUCCAACCGGAAUUCUCUUAUUGCCACAAAUUCAAAGCGUUGACAUUUCAUUGAAUGACCAACUUAUGGGUCAGUUGCCAGAAUUUCCAGCAAACAAUGCUUUACAGAGUUUGUCGCUUUUUUAUACAAAUUUCAGUGGAAAACUACCUCAAUCAAUUGGUAAUCUCAAAUUCUUGACUAAUUUGAAGCUGUUUAGUUGCAAUUUUUUUGGACCCAUUCCAUCGUCAAUUGCAAAUCUUAGUCACCUGGUGAACUUGGAUCUAAGUUCAAACAAGCUUUCUGGAUCAAUACAUUCUUCUUUAUUUACUCUUCCAUCGUUGAAGAUCUUGUGUCUUGGAGACAAUCAAUUGGUUGGGAAAAUUGAUGAGUUCCCCAAUGCAUCUUCUUCUUUGAUUCAAGAAUUACAUAUAGGCAAUAAUUAUUUAACAGGAACAAUCCCGAAGUCAAUCCUCCAACUUCCAAGGCUUGAAGGGCUUUAUAUCGGAGGCAAUAGCUUCAGUUCCAUGAAGCUUGACAUGUUUGUCCAACUUAAGAACUUAAAGGAUCUCGAAUUAUCCAAAGUAAGUUUGUUAAUUGAAAGCGACAACAGAAGUCUUACUUUUCCCCAAUUAGAGACCCUAUGGCUAAUGUCAUGCAACCUUACUGAAUUUCCAGAAUUCAUUAAAAGGCAAGACAAGUUGGUUGACUUAGAUCUUUCUAACAAUCAUAUCCAUGGUGUUGUGCCUAAUUGGUUGUGGAAGAGCAGCCUUUCAUCCUUACACCUUUCUUUCAAUGUGAUUGAUUUUCCAAAACAACUUACUUUAAGUGAUUCAAACUUCUCUUUCCCAAUGUUGAGGGAAUUGUCUCUGGAAUCUUGUAACUUAAGCGCAUUUCCGGAGUUCUUAAAGAGUCAAGAAAAUAUAGGACAUCUUGAACUUUCAAAUAAUAAAAUAAGUGGUGCAAUACCAAACUGGGUGUGGAAGAAAAGUUUGCGUGUUCUCAAUCUUGCAAAUAACCAUAUCUCAUCUUUGGACCAACUUUUACCCAAUCAGAGUUCAACUUCUUCACAAACCUCCUUGGCUAGACCUAUUUGCAAUUUGAGUCAACUUAUAAAUUUCAAUGCAUCUCAUAACAAUUUGAGCGGCAAGAUUCCAAAUUGCUUAGGCAAAAUGAAUGAUCUCUGUUUGUUGGAUCUGCAAGGAAAUAACUUCAGUGGAAUGUUACCAAAAUUUUCAAAAGCAACCCACUUAUAUAUUCUCAAAGUUAGUGAGAAUAGAUUGGAAGGGAAGUUGCCCAGAUCAUUAGCUGAAUGCACUCAGCUUGAAGUUUUGGACGUGGGAAACAACAAGAUGAAUGAUACGUUCCCUUUUUGGUUGGAGAAAUUGCCUUACUUGACGGUUCUAAUAUUGCGGGAAAACAGAUUUUAUGGUCAAAUUAAACAUAGAUUUGUUUUCCCAACUUUGGAUGUGUUGGACAUUGCUUCAAACCAGUUUUCUGGUGAACUAUCCAUUGAUUUCCUUCAAGCCACUCGACUAAGGUCACUCAAAAUAGGUGGGAAUAAAUUAGAAGGGAAGUUGUCGAGAUCAUUAGCCAAUUGUAAAGCACUUGAGGUUCUGGACCUUGGAAAUAAUAUGGUUCAUGAUACAUUCCCAUUUUGGUUAGAGAAGCUGCCUUCCUUGAAGGUUCUCAUUUUACGAGCAAACAGAUUCUACGGCACAAUUACAAAAUUCGACACGAAACAUGGGUUUCCAAAGCUACGCAUAUUGGACAUUGCUUCCAACAAUUUUUCAGGCGACUUGUCCAUUGAAUUUUUGCAAAGCUUGAAGGCAAUGAUGCAGUUAACAAAUGACGACAAAGCUAAGCUGGAUUACAUUGGAGAGAAUUAUUAUCAAGAUUCAGUGACAAUUUUCAACAAAGGGAUUGAGCUGUUUUACGAGAAAAUCUUAACCACUCUUACUUGUCUUGACCUUUCCAACAAUAGUUUCCAUGGGAGAAUAUCAGAAGAAAUACAAAUGCUGAGGUCACUCAAAGUGCUAAACUUGUCCUAUAAUAGCUUCUCCGGUGAAAUCCCAGUAGCAUUUGAAAACCUAAAAGAUCUCGAGUCUUUGGAUCUCUCACAGAAUGAGCUGUCAGGGAAGAUUCCUCCACAUCUUACAAGUUUAACUUUCUUAGCGGCAUUGAACUUGUCUUACAACCAACUUGAAGGGAGCAUACCACAAAGCAACCAAUUCAUUACAUUUACAAAUGAUUCCUACCGUGGGAACCCAAAAUUGUGUGGGCUGCCAUUGUCAAGGAAAUGCAAUGAAGUCGGUCUUCCAGUGGCACCACCUCCACGGCGAGAUGAAGAAUCAUGGUUAUAUGCUAUGUCUACUUGGAAAAUUGCGUUGAUAGGUUAUACUAGUGGAUUAGUCGUUGGGCUAUGUAUUGGAUAUACAGUGCUGAAUGAGUUGGGAAACAAAUGGGUUGACAAGUUCAAAAAGCGUGGGAAAAGAAAUAGAAGAAGAUGUAGGUGACUGGAUCAGAAUUCUUGCUUCAUAAUUAGCUGGUAAGCAUUUGUCUUUCUAAUUUGAACAGAUAGUUGUUGAUAUCUAUAUAGGUUUUCAUAACCUCAUUUUUUGCUGUCUUUACCAAGUUCACUAUCAUAUCGUACUUGUAAUUUGGUGUUACCAUUGAGCAAUGCAGGAGGUACUUGAAGCAGGACAUGGAAUGUACAGUUGUUAGGUACAUGAAGAAUGUAGGCAAUGAUCCUAACAAGAUCAAUCCACUGGUUUGUAAUUUUGCUUUAUAUGCACUUUUUUUCCUCCUGUUGUUUUCCAUGAGUAUAAAUAAGUGUUUAUUCAUUUUGCAUCCAGGUCCCUGUGGAUUUGGGGGAUGCAAUGUUUCACUGCUACUGAAUUUCCAUGCUAAUAAUGAUAUUAUAAACAAGGAUAUGGCUGCCCAAGCUUUCUUUUAUAUGCAAUUUACUUUUACUUCAAUUUUUUUUAUCUUCAGAAUAUUUGUACAGCUGAGGAGAUUUGAUGGCAUGAUGUUGAUGAAAGCCAUAUCUGAUGGACAUUGGACUAAUUGUGUAAAGAGACGCAGAUGCUGCUACUCCCAUCCUUUGCUCUUCCAAAUAGACAUUAGCUUUAUAUUUUAUCAAUCAGGCGUUGGGCUUUAGGAGCGGGUGUAAAGGGUGGACCUGUUGGUUCUGGUUUUAGUUCAGCCCGACACUUAUUUUUAUACUAGUUUAUUUAUCCUUUCAAUGAUAGGUUUUAUUAAUUUCAAAAAUAUGGUUGAAUUAAGAAAUAAUAUGAUAAAAAUAAUAAAAAUAUAUGAAAGAAAUGAUGCCUUACAAUGUAGAAACAAAAUGGUAGCUUCUUUAGGAACAGAAAGGAACAAGAUUUUGAUACCCAAUGAAGAGAAACAAAGAUGAAAUCUUUCUAAUGCAUUUUCUUAUGCAUCCUUUCUAGGAUUCUAACUAGGCAGAGAGAAGAAAAAUAAGUAAAUGAAAAAUGGGAGUUAAUUUCCUUUUCUUAAAAAAUAGUAUUCGUAUAAAAAAUUGGAUAUUUUACUAAAAAAAAAAAGCCCAUUUCCAACAUAAUAUAUGGAAUGAGCCACUUAAAAAAUUAUUUAUAGAAAUAGGUCACUUAAAAAAUAUUUACCGAAAUGGUCCAAAAAACACAAAACCCACCUACGUAAAAGUGUUUUAAGCGGAAAUUUCAGAAAAGCGACUUCUCGUGGGAGCGCUUUUGCCAUGUCAGCAAAAGCGCAUUGACAUGGAAGCGCUUUUGCUGACAUUGCAAAUGACAUACAAAUAACCUAAAUCCCCUAGAAAUAACACAGGCUAAAGAGCUCCCACGAGAAAGCGCUUUUCUGAAAUUUCCCUUUAAAAUACUUCCACGUAAGUGCAUUUUGGGUUUUUUGACCCAUUACAGUAAAUAAUCUUUUAAAUGACCCAUUUUUAUAAAUAAUGUUGGAAAGAGGUUUUUUUUUAAGUAAAAUGUCCCAUAAAAUCACCUUUAUAAACUAUUUUCAUCAAAAUUUAAUUUCCAAGAAAUUCUCUAAGAAGACUAUGAAAAAGAAAAAGGUUGAAAAACGAGUCUGAUCUAAUGCAUUUUCUUAUACUUUCUUUCUAGGAUUCUAACUAGGAAGAGAGAAGAAAAAUAAGUAAAUGAAAAAUGGAAGUGAAUUUCGUUUUCUUAAAAAAUAGUAUUCGUAUAUAAAAUCGGGUAUUUUACUAAAAAAAACCCAUUUUAAACUAAAAUAAAUUAAUUAAAUGCAUAAAUUUUUAAUUUUUCACCAUAAAUAUUUCAUCUCUUAGGCCGCAAAAUAUGUUUAGCUUUUAUUGCAUUACAUUUUAUAUAAUUUUCUUUUUAAAAAAUCUAAUUUAUUGUUUGCUUGAAACCCAAAAAUAUUAAGAACCGGAUUAGAAAUUAGUAGAACAUAAUUAAAUAAUGACCGGACAAUAAGAGUCAUUUGCAAGUAUACAUGCCAAGACUAAGUCAAAAGCUCCAUUUGAUAAAAACCCAUGCAUACUAUAGUUUCUUUGUUAGUCCUACACUAAAAACAUAUAAUUUCCUAAUUAGAAAAUAAAUCUAUGAGCUUUGCCUCUAAAUACAUUAUGUUGUUAUACACUCAAUGUUGAGCUUUGCGGAGCUUUGGAGGGAUUUCAAAUUACUUAGAGAAUAGGUUUUCAAUAGAUUGUGCUUGAGUUGAAUAAUAUGACUACAAUCUAAUUGAUUCAAGAUGAUUAGUUGAGUUUCACAUUCAGCUGUGUUACGAAUUAUAAAGAACUUAUUCAACAUCUUUGGAUGAUUAGGGUGAUACAUGUAUUCAAAUAGGGUAAUUGAGUAGUCGAUGGACCAGAAGCAAUGAUAUUUUCAAGGCGUUAUAUGCAACCCUUGGAUAAAAUUCUUCAAAAAUUAUAUGAUUAUUGCUCUGGAAUAACCUGACCCGACUUAAUCCAAUUAUGAUUUUAUCUUUGUUCAUUAAAAAAAAGAAAGAUAGUAAAUUUAAAUAAUUGAAGAGAAAAUAAAAAUUAAUUAUGUAAAUCACCGAUAAAAAGAAUCUAAUUUUGGACUUAAAAACUAUAUGCUUGUUGCAUUUCAAUUGGUUGGGUAAACUUUGAAAGUGUAAACGAUUGAAAAGUAGCUAAAUUAUAAGACAUUUCAAGUAAUAUGUGAUCAUCAUUUUCAAUCAACGUCCCAAAAUAUAAAUUUUGGAAUUUUUAUAAAUAUUUUAAAUUUUUGUUGAGAGAUAAAUUUUCUAAGUUUCAAAAUAAAUAGGGAUCAAAUGAGUAUGUAUACUAAUCUGUUGUAUGAAUUAUUCAAAUUAUUCGAGUUAUUCAAAUUUUAAAAUUUAACUCGAAGCUUGACUUAUAAAUAUUUUUAUUCAAAUUUUAAAAUUUAACUCGAAGCUUGACUUAUAAAUAUUUUUAUGUUUUAUAUUUAAUAAUAUAAAACAUAAAAAUCUUUAAAUUAAAUAAUAAUUAAAAAUAAUGUAAAAAUGAAAGUCUUUCUCCAAACUUCACCCAAAAACACUUUAAGAAAAUUUCCACUCCUUGUGUCCAUCAAUCCAUCUCAACCAGCUAACAAAUUUACUAUAAUUUUGUCUUUGUAAUGUGACUUCACUUGUACAUAAUGGUUGAACGUUGUUUUUGUGCAAUCAAAAUUUGGACAUUUGUAUGCAACGCCAAAGACUUAAGAUAUUUCAUACUAUCAUUUUUCCCGAUCCAAAGUUAAAGAUAUUACAAAUUUCAAAUUAGAACGUUAUUUAUAAUUUGAGCACUUAAUUAGAACAUUAUGAAAUCUAGAAACUUUUAAAAAAAAUUUAUACUAUUUUUUAUAAUUUUUAUACUUUUUUAAUAAUUUUAAUUUUUAAAAAUAGAUUUUUUUUUAAUUUUUAAAAUUUUAAAAAAUAAUUAAAUGAUGAGGUGUCAUUCAUGUGAUAAUCCAUGUAUAUGCCACAUUAGCAAAGUUAAAAAAUAGUUAACAUUUCUAUCAAUUUUGGGGAACUUGAUAAAAACACAAGUUUAAAAAUUAAAAAACAUGAAAAAAUAAAUGAAUGACUAAAAUAACUUUUUUUUUGUAAAACUGGAGGCCAAAUAAGUCAUUAUGGCAAAAAAAUUAAAAAUUUAUUUUCUCCUCCAAAAGUAGAAUCUAAAGUUAAGCAAAUAUUAAACAAUAAUAUUUACGGACUUCAACAUCGAAAAUGUAUGAAAUUUAUUGUUGUUCAAUGAAUUUAUUGUUUAAUAAUUACUUUUGUUUUGGCCAUUGGGAAAAUUUUCUAGCCCUUAUAAUAUAUAUAUCCAUAUUAUUGGAUGUGCUUCUUUUAUUCAAUUACAUUGCCUAAGGUUGCUUAUUGCGAUUAUGGUAACUUGAUGCAUCAUCCCCUAACUAAAUCUUCUCAUUUUCAGUGUUAGAAUCCUCCUCUUUAAAAUUUGGGUGUCAUGUUGCUUUUUGAGCAUUACUAUGUCAUUCUCCUCUUAAACACGUCGAAAAAUCUAGUAGGAGCUUCUACUUCCGAUUCUGGAGAAGUUGCCUCCCUUGAACUCAACAAAACCCUAUCAGCUUCCGGAGAUGCUACCUCAUCAAAAGCCUUCUCCUCUUGUCCUACUACAAAUUGGAUUGAGAACACUAAAGCCAAUGAGAACACAACCAAAAAAAACCUUCGCCAUCUUUUUUAUUUCCAAAAAGGUUAAGAAAUAAGUAAAGAUAUAUUUUUAUUUAUGCUUAAGGAUGAAAAUGAGAAGAAAUUUAAAGAGUUUAAAAUGAGAUAUUUUGGGCGAAUCUAUGGGUCGUUGACUAGUCCAGUGCCUAAUAGCCAUACACGACAAAAAUACAUAUAACUUCUCUCCCCAUUUUCAAUGGCUAUGUUUAUCACUAUUAUUGCUGGGUUCAAUUUACUUCACUUUGCUUGACUCGAAGACGUUGUGGAUGAUCGAUGAUGUGUUUUAAAAUUAUUCUGACCUUCUCUGUUUGCAUCACCUGUACCAAUCAAAAACACUCAUUCUUUUAUAGUUCAAUAUAUUUUCCAUGAAACAACUUCGAAAGUCAAGCAAAAUCUAAAUAACUUUCUUCUUCUAUAUCGAAUACUGACUGUUAAAUUACCUUGGAUUUAAAGUAUAUUCUUCUACUUGUCUAUGGUUAUUGAUCAUAGUACCGGUUGUCAAAUCGUCGCUUGGAGCUAACUACCUAGGCUUUUCAAAAGAAAAAAAAUUUAACAGCCAAAUGACCAGGCCGUUCUUGACAUUUUUGGGGCUCUAAGCAAAACAAUAAAUUGGGGCCCCAAAUUAUAAGAUGUAAUACAAUAUAACAAAAAAAUUGGGGCCUUUUUUUCUGCAUGCAAUAAAUUAGAAGGUUUAAAAGGUUGAAGAUUUUUAUUUGAGACCUUUCCAGCCCUAGGUGUCUGCACUCGAACUACCCCUAGGGUCGGGCCUGCAAGUGACAUAAAUAAAAAUCUUCUGAAUAGUUUAGUAAUCAUUUUUAAAGUCAAGUAAAUAAUUAACCGUAAUUCUUCAGAAAAAUAUUUGAACAUAAAAUUUAUGAAUUUUUCUAUAAUAUAUUAUUACAUUUUUUUCGCAUUUUCAAUAGUUAUAUAUACAAUGAUAAAAUGAUAAUUUAAUCUCAUUGAGUGGGGCAAGGUAAGAAAUUACCAUAAUUGCUCCAUACUUGCUAUUUAAAAAAAAAAAUUCACCUCGCCCUGCUCUACAUCCACUUUUGAAAAAAAAUCCUCUAUAUUUGGAGUGGAUAGAUUCGGAAUCCAUAGAGUGAUUCGGGUCUUACCAUCCCUAGUUACACAUCUAUACUAUUAUUUUAUUCUCAUUGGAACCAAUCUCAUUGCCCAACCAAAUGGACCCGAAAGUUUUAAAUGAUAACAACAACAAUGGUAUAGAUAAAUGGAUUUAUACGUGAAUGUGGUUUUUUUUUUAAGAAAACUGAAAGUGACAAUAUAAGUACUAUAUUCCUAUCUAACAUAACUCAUCCUGUCAAUUGAGUUUUGAUUCGAUUAGUAUCAGUGCUAAUUGUAGCAAUCAAGAAAAUGUUGGUUUAAGCACAACUAAUUAAGUGUAUUUUUAAUCUGAUUUAAGAGUUAAGGGUGAAUUAUGAGUAGGAGUAAUGAUAAGUGAUAAAAGUAACAUAUUUUAAUCUCGUUCUUAAUGCAUUUUUGGAUGAUUAUUUAUGCAAAUUGGUGAAUUUUAUGCUCUUGAUCCUUUAAAUUCAUGUUUUUAUACUUAGGAGAGAAUUUGGGAGCAAAAGGAGCGGAAAACAAGUAAAAAUCAGACAAAUAGAGCAUAUUUCAGGAGCCACAUAGGCUAGACACACGACCGUGUAAGCCACACAGGCUGGCAGACGGCCAUGUGCCAGACUGUGUCAAUUAUGCGAUUUGUUUCCCAAACAUGCAGAAAAAUGCAAUUUUUAGGCUUUCGUGGCAUUCUAAGUCUAUAAAUACCAAAUAUAAUACGAGAAGUGGGGGAGAUCAGAGAGUAUUGAAGGAAACAACUCGAAGAACACCAUUGAAGCCAACUUUGAAGUAGAUUUCUAUCAAGAUUGAAGAUCUCCUUUUAAUUUCUUUGAAGCUUUUAUGAGUUUCGUUAUCUCUUAUGGUUAUAUUGACUUUGAGAUUGUAAUACCCCGAAAAUUUCUACAGUAAGAAAGUAAGAUAAUAUCUAUGAUAUAGUAAAAUAAGGAAAUAAAGUGAUAAAAAGGUUAAUUUUGAGAUUUGAUGGCAUGAUGUUGAUGAAAGCCAUAUCUGACCGAUAUUGGACUGAUUGUGUAAAGAGACGCAGAUGCUGCUACUCCCAUCCUUAGCUCUUCCAAACAGACAUUAGCACGCGUUGGGCUUUAGGACCAGGUGUAAAGGGUGGACCUGUUGGUUCGGGUUUUAGUUCAGCCCGACACUUAUUUUUAUACUAAUUUAUUUAUCCUUUCAAUGAUAGUUUUAUUAAUUUCAAAAAUAUGGUUGAAUUAAGUAAUAAUAUGAUAAAAAUAAUUAAAAUAAUUAAAAUAUAUGAAAGAAAUGAUGCCUUACAAUGUGGUGUGGUUUUUAGUAUUGGCAAACAAUCUAAAACAUUAGAAAUAAAUAUGUGACCUUAAUAAAAAAAAUCAAUUCUCUUAUUGUAAAACAUUUAUAAGAAUUUAUUCAAGGGACAAUUCUAUCAUUGUAAGACAUUUAAAAGAAUUUAUUUAAGGGAAAGGAUGGUAUGAAACUGUGAUUUCAUGUUAUCUCUAUCCCUUCCUAAUAAGAGGAGAAUGACAAAUUAAAUUUUUAUUCAUUGAUUUGUCUGAUUUGUAGCAUUUUUAAUUGGGUUUGAAUUUUUUCAAGAAUUAAAAAAAAAACUUUUGAAAUUGAAAUUAGUUUUUUCAAAGAAUUAAAAAAUUGUUAAUAAUGUAAGACAUCUCGUCAGUCUCAUUUAUCUUUGAUAAUUUCAAUUAAAUCUAAAAAAAAUAUUGAUGUGGAAAUUUAAAUAUGUUUCUUUCAAAGAAAUUACUAAGAAGAGGAAAACUAAACAUUAUAUCAUCAAAAUUUCCACAACUUGUGCCCAUCAAUCCAUCUCAACUACCUAAGAAACUUGCUAAACAUUGUUUUGAUGGGGUAAAAAAGAUUUAGACAUUUGCAUGCAGUGCCAAAAGGCUAAGACUAAGUCCAAUAAUAUCUCAUUCCAUAAUUUUCUAUUGAUUCCAUACACUUUAAGUUCAUUGAAAAGUCAUCAAAGUUAUGAGAAAAUUUAGUCUUUGAGCCAUCAAUGAUCUAUCUCAAUCAGUUAAAAAAAAUCACCACAAUUCCAUUUUUUUUUAUUAAUUGACUAAAAUAAAAUUAGUGGUACAACAUUAUUUUGAUGCAGUAGUGAUCGGGCUUAGUCCAAAAUUAAAAAUAAUGUAUGGAAAGUACAAAUCUGUGUAUAAAUAAGUUGUAUGCAUGGAAACAAUCCUCCUUCACAGCCAGCAAACAUGAAAGCCAUAUCUGAUGGACAUUGUACUGAUUGUGUAAAGAGACACAGCUGCUGCUGCUACUCCCAUCUUUAGCUGGCAUAUUGGGUUUUUAUUUUAUCAAACACAUGUUGGGUUUUUGUACAGCCUCGAACUUAUUUUGUACCAAUCUGUUUCGUAGAAAUUGUGUGGUCAUCAUAAUUUUCACUCCAUAUCCCCAUCAAUCCAUCUCAAGAGCAACCCAACUACGGUUGGUCAAAAUUAGAAGGGAAAUUACCAAGAUCAUGGGUGAAAUGCAUUCAUCUUAGAACUUAUACGUGUUGGUUGUUAAACCUCAACAAACCAGCAAAUACCAUAAUUUUUGUUCUGAUCGUCCAUUGCAGCACCUAUGGGUUUCUUCAUCUUUAAUUCUGCUAAAGAAGACGGGAUUUUUAUAGCUUCAAUUGUUUUAUCAAACCCAUAGUCCUCAUCUUUUACAAUCUUCUUCACCACUCUCCCUAGUUCCUUCUUUAACUUUGUUUCUUCCCUUGUUUCUACUGACUCCUUUUUUUCAGCCGUUGAAACAAAAUGGUAGCUUCUUUAGGAACAGAAAGGAACAAGAUUUUGAUACCCAAUGAAGAGAAACAAAGAUGAAAUAGCUUCUUUAGGAACAGAAAUGAACAAGAUUUUGAUACCCAAUGAAGAGAAACAAAGAUGAAAUCUUUCUAAGAAGACUAUGAAAAAGAAAAAAGGUUGAAAAAGGAGUCUGAAAUUUUUAAGCAGUUUUUUUUGAAAGAAAUGAAAAGCGUCCAAUACAUCCCCAAUAAUUCAUUUUUCGUUUAGUUUAGUGAUUUCAAUUAAACCAAGAAAGUUUAAAAAGUUCAAUCUUUUUCAAAUUGUGUUGAAAUUGCACUGCUUCUCUAUUACUUGAUUUAUAUAUUUCUGUGGUUUUUAAGGAAACUAGCAACCCCGGCAAUCGGGUUAUUUGAGAGUACAAUCGUCUUGGAUUAGAAGGGGCUUAAAUAUAUAUAUAUUUUUCAGUUAUUAAUGUAAGAAAAAAAUUAUAUAUAAACUUUAAUUUAAUGUGCAAUUGUAUAUAGCAACCCAUGCAUACUAUCGUUUCUCUGUUAGUUCUACACUAAAAACAUAUAAUUUCCAAAAUAAAGCUAUGAGCUUUGUCUCUAAAUACAUUGAGUUGUUCUACACUCAAUGUCGAGCUUCGUGGAGUUUAGGAGGGAUUUUAAAUUACUUAGAGAUAAAUUUUCAAUGAAUUGUACUUGAGAUGAAUAAUAUGAUUACAAUCUAAUUGAUUCAAGAUGAUCAGUUGAGUUCCACCAUUCAGCUGUGUUACGAACUAUUAAAGAAAUUAUUCAACGUCUUUGGAUGAUUAAGGUGACACAUGUAUUCAAAUAAGGUAAUUGAGUAGUCGAUGGACUGAAAGCAAUGAUAUUUUCAAGGCGUCUAGGCAUGUAUAGUUAUAUGCAACCAUUGGAUAAAUUUCUUUAAAAGUUAUAUGAUUAUUGCUCUGGAAUGACCUGACCCGACUUAAUCCAAUUAUGAUUUUAUCUUUGUUCAUGUAAAAAGAAAGAAAGAAAGAAAAUAAUUGAAGAGAAUACAAUUUAAUUAUGUAAAUCACCGAUAAAAAGAAUCUACUUUUGGACUGAAGAAACUAUAUGGUGGUUGCAUUUCAAUUGGUUGGACAAACUUUGAAAGUGUAAAGGAUUGAAAAGUAGCUUAUAUUAUAAGACAUUUCAACUAAUCUGUGAUCAUCAUUUUCAAUCAACCCAAAAUAUAAAUUUUGGAAUUUUUAUGAAUAUUUUAAAGUUUUGUUGAGAGAUAAAAUUUUUAAGUUUCAAAAUUAAUAGGGAUCAAAUGAGUCUGUUGUAUGAAUUAAUCAAAUUAUUCGAGUUAUUCAAAUUUUAAAAUUUAACUCGAAACUUGACUUAUAAAUAUUUUUAUAUUUUAUAUUUAAUAAUAUAAAACAUAAAAAUUAAAUAUAAAACAUAAAAAAUAUUUAAAUUAAAUAAAAAUUAAAAAAUAAUAUAAAAAUGAAAGUCUUUCUCCAAACUUCACCCAAAAACACUUUAAGAAAAUUUCCACUCCUUGUGUCCAUCAAUCCAUCUCAACCAGCUAACAAAUUUACUAUAAUUUUGUCUUUAUAAUGUGACUUCACUUGUACACAAUGGUUGAAUGUUAUUUUUGUGCAAUCAAAAUUUAGACAUUUGGAACAAAAAGAUGAGCUCUCUCUCUCUGAAAAUUCUGAAAAUGAGAAAUCUAUUUCUGAGGAGUUGAUCCCCAAGAAAGUUCGUUUCAGAGGCGAAGAUGUUGUUGCUAACAAUAUUAUGAUGAUCGACUCGUCACCGGAAAAACCUAUCUCGUGGAAGGACAUGCUUGUGGGCCAAUCGUCAAAGGAGAAUCUCAUUGAUUUGGAAGGCAAAGAAGAUCUAGAAAUUUUGGAAGGAGAUAUUCAAAAAUCCUUUGUGAAUGGCGUACCCUCUAUCUCCUUCUCGGAUAGGAUUCAAAAAAUUCUUAUUCAAGGUAUGGAUAACACAAUGAUUUUAAAGCUUCUUGGUCGUAAUAUUGAUUUUUCGGUUUUGCAGAAUAAACUGUAUAAUCUGUGGAAACCAUCAGCGCCGAUACAUAUGAUGGACAUAGAAAAUGGUUAUUUCUUGGUUAAAUUUCAGAACAAAUUGGACUGUGAAAAGGCGCUUUCUGAAGGUUCUUGGAUCAUCUUUGGACAAUACUUAACAGUCCAACCUUGGUCUUUAGCUUUUGAUCCCACACAAGCUUACCCUAAUGUUGUGAUGGCAUGGAUCAGAUUCCCUGGUUUACCGGGGUAUUUAUACAAUCACAAGAUCAUCACUGAGAUAGGGGGAACGGUUGGAAAAGUGGUUAAAUUGGAUAUGAACACAGAUAAUAGGACUAGAGGACGUUUUGCCAGAUUGGCUGUUUAUAUUAACCUGGAAAAGCCGCUGGUAUCCCAUAUUCUGAUCAACGGCCGAAAGCAGAAUGUUGAAUACGAAUCCUUAUCUACAAUUUGUUUUCACUGUGGGAGAUUUGGGCAUGUGGAGAAUUCUUGCCCUUUUAAAAUUUCUGAAAGCCUUACUGAAAAGGAGAAUGCCCCAUCGGAUUUGUCAUCGGAGUUUCAGAACACGAACAAGGUUGAUGAGGAAAAGGAAAACGGGAAUUUUGGUCCUUGGAUGAUCGUUGAAAAGAAAUCAAGGCGUAAAAUUAGGGAAAAGGUGAAUAAUUCUCUCAACAACCCACAAAGUGGAAAAGAAGGAACUCGUUUUAGAGUCCUUAAUGAUGAAGAUUCGGUCAAAAAGGAUGAUGAAGGUUUUAUGAUGGAUUCCAGGCGUGAUAAAGGUAAAGAAAUUUCACAAGAUAUUUCUAUGGGUAAAGUUCCAAAUGCUUUCUUUAACGGCAAAUUUGAGUGGAGAAAAAGCAAUAAUAAUAAGUCAAAAGAUGUGGGUUUGAAAGAUAGUGGUGGCCCCACCUCUAAAGUUAAUGGUAGGCCAAUUUUGGAGCCCAACAACUCCUUUUCUAUUCUGAAGGAAAAUUCUCCCAAUAUAGUUAAGGCUUUUAGCAGUUUGGGCCAUGGAGACUUAACUGCGGGUCAGGCCCGAGGAGAUUUGGGCUCACCUGCUCCGGAACUGGUAGCCCAACAUCUCUUAACUGCUGAUGGAAGCAGCAGUCGGUCUUUUGCUGCAUCUGAAAUGCAAAAAAUCCCAGGAGACAGUGUGGGGGUCAGGUCUGAAGGAGAAAGUUCUGAAAACCGGACAGUUUUAAUGGAUUCAAGUCGGGAUAGUAUAGCUGUUUCUCUAGAUGUUGGAAAUCUAGAUUCUAAUCGACACUCGGCGGUGGUUUUUCAUAACAGCUCUCAAAGCAAGGAAAACAUCAUUAUCCAACCCCCAAAAAAUUUUGAUUCUUCUCUGGUGCUAUCCUCCGGUUCGGGUAAAGGUAUUAAGAACAGAGCAAGAGGUCAAGCUAAGAAACAGGCUAAGAUCCUUCAUGGCAGCAAUACUAGAUUCAAAAUUUCAGGAUCCCAGCGAACAUCUUUGAAGGAGUCGAUGGAACACCUCGCCGAGAGCAUCUCGUCCUUUGCACCUCCUAAUCUUGGGGUUGUAAAUAGAGGGGGCUCUGGUGUGCAAAUAGAGGGAGACAAUGCUCCUGGACAGUAAGGAUAUUCUUUUAAUCCUUAUAGGUUUUGUAUGUUUUGAUAAGGUGAUAUUGGGAUAUUGGUUCAUUUCACUUUUUCAUUUAUUUUUAUAUCUUAUUAUGUCUUUAAAUUUAAAAAUUUUUACAUGGAAUUGUCAAGGGUGUGCUAGCAGAAAGUUUUUACGAGUUUUUCAGGAAUACAAUGCAGAGUACAGGCCUGAUAUUGUUUGUUUGGUGGAACCGAGAGUGAGUGGUUUUAAGGCUAAUCUUAUUAUUGAAAAAUUGGGGUUUAACUUUUCACAUCGGGUUGAAGCUAUUGGUUUUUCAGGUGGCAUAUGGAUUGGUUGGAAGGAUUCUAUACAAAUUCAUAUUGUUUAAAAUCAUCCGCAAUUUAUUUUCUUACGUGUUAAUAAUAGUAUUCCUAAUAAUUCAUUUUUUAUUUCCUUUGUUUAUGGCAGUCCGGAUAGAUCUAAAAGAAAGCUUCUUUGGGAUGACUUAAAAUCUACAAAUUCUAACCUUUCUUCUCCUUGGCUAAUUAUGGGAGAUUUCAAUGCUAUCUUAUCUUCUUCUGAUAAAAAGAGUCCUGUCUCUAUUGGUAAGCGCUGUGAUUUAUUUGGUAAUUUUGUUGAGUCUUGUGAGUUGCAGGAUUUGGGGUUUAAUGGACCUGCAUUCACUUGGCAAAGAGGUGGUACAUUUGUUAGACUUGAUCGGGCCUUAGCCAAUGAUGCUUGGGUGUCUGCUUUUCCUCAAUACUCUGUCCAUCAUCUUACUCGUAUCAAGUCAGAUCAUAGGCCCCUCUUGUUAUCUACUGCAUCCGACCUUAACAUUUCUCGAAGCAGACCGUUCAGGUUCUUAGCGGGAUGGACGAAACAUAGUGAUUUCCCCAACCUUGUUAAAGAAAAGUGGAACUUCACAGGUAAUAUGUUUGAAUCUUUGAAAAAUUUCACUUUUUUUGCUAAAGAUUGGAACAGGAAUAUUUAUGGUUUUUUGGGUACUCGUAAGAGAAAUCUUAUGAGAUCUCUUAAUAAUAUCCAAAAAACCAUGGAGCAUUAUUCCUCUACAUAUUUAGCUGGAAAAGAAUUGGAAAUUCGGGAGGAGCUGGAAAAUGUGCUUGAUCAUGAAGAUCUACUUUGGAGACAAAAGGCUCGCUGUGAUUGGCUUCAUUUGGGGGACCGAAAUACAAAGUUUUUUCAUAAUCGCACGAUGAGGAGAAGGAAACUCAAUCGUAUCAUAACCUUACGCGUUGAUAAUGGGGAUUGGUGUACAGAUCAAGAUAUCGUGCAGGCUAAGGCGGUGGAAUUCUUUGAAGGGCUCUUUGGAGAGGAUUCUCCUACGUUGGGGGAUACUCCAAAUGUUGGUUUUCCUCGCUUUAACUCUUCUGAGAUUAAUUUCCUAGAGGCUCCAAUUUCUAAUGAGGAGAUUAGAAGGGCUUUGUUUGACAUGGCUCCUUUGAAAGCUCCUGGAAGUGAUGGUUUCCAUGCUCACUUUUUCCAAAGCCAAUGGGAUAUUCUUGGGAAUGAUGUGUGUCAGUGGGUCAAAGGAAUUUUUGAUGGACGUCCGAUUGAAGUUGAAUUGAACAAUACACUAAUCGUGUUAAUUCCCAAAAAAGAGAACCCUGAGGACUUUAGCCACUUUAGGCCUAUUAGCCUUUGUUCUGUUCUCUACAAGUUGGUAAAGAAAAUUAUUGCGAAUCGGUUUAAAGUUAUAUUUCCUAAGCUUAUAUCCCAAGAACAAGUUGGAUUCAUAGCUGGGCGUAACAUUUCUGAUAAUAUUAUCUUAGCUCAAGAGAUCAUUCACUCUAUGCGCUGUAAUAGGAAAGGAAGGAGGUGGAUGGCUAUUAAGUUAGAUUUGGAGAAAGCUUACGAUAGAGUUAGUUGGGACUUUAUAAGAGCUUCUUUGGUUGAUGCUGGAAUUCCUAUCUUCUUAAGGAAAGUAAUCAUGUCUGCUAUUUCUUCCUCUUCCAUGCAAAUUCUAUGGAACGGGACACCUACUAAAAAGUUCAAACCUAAGAGAGGUAUUCGCCAGGGUUGUCCUUUAUCACCUUAUCUAUUUGUGCUAUGCAUGGAAUGGUUAGGACAUUUUAUUCGGACUGAAAUUAACUCGGGGAAAUGGGAUCCAAUUCAUCUUUCUCGUACAGGUCCUUCAAUUUCUCAUUUGUUCUUUGCGAAUGACUUAGUUAUCUUUUGUAAAGCUCAGUUCGACCAAGCUAGUCUCCUGGAUAAUAUUCUAACUCGAUUUUGUGUGAUCUCAGGACACAAAAUAAGUGUUAGGAAAAGUAGCAUUUUCUAUUCCAAAAACACAGAAGAGAAUGUUCGUAAUCAAAUUAACCAACUUUUUGGAUUUCACGAAGUCCAAAACCUUGGCAUCUAUUUAGGUGUUCCUCUCUUACACCAAAGGAUUUCCAAAAGUACCUUGAAUUUUAUUGUGGAUAAAGUGAGGAAGAAAUUACAGAGUUGGGAUGCUAGGAAUCUAUCUAUUGCUGGUAGAAUCACUUUGGCCCAAUCAGUUCUUCUUUCUAUUCCUAAUUAUUUUAUGCAGUCCUUGAUGAUCCCGAAAGGUAUUUGUGCAGACAUUGAAAGAGUGGUCAGGCAAUUUAUUUGGGGUAGUACUGAUGGUCAUCUGAAAAUGUCUUUAGUGGGUUGGAAUUCUAUUUGCCAACCAAGGUCUCGAGGAGGUCUUGGUUUCAGACAUUUGGAAGAUCAAAAUUCAUCUUUUCUUAUGAAGAUUGGAUUUAAUCUUGUUUCUAAAAGUAAUGCACUUUGGGUUCGUGCUCUUCGUGCCAAAUAUGGUUGGAAAGACCAACUCCCGGAUUCUAUUAAAAGAAACCAAUGCUCUCUUUUAUGGAGGGCACUUUCUAAGAUAUGGCCAAUCUUUAGAGAUAAUAUUGCCUGGUCUAUUGGAGACGGUGCUACUGCUAGAUGCUGGAAAGAUCCUUGGAUUCUAGGUAUGGGACCUUUAAUUUUAAAAAUUCACCAUCCUGCUAACCUUGAUUUGGAUUGUUGUGUUAGGGAGAUGGUCAACUCAGAUGGUAGCUGGAAUUUGGAUUUAUUUCGUGCCUGGGUGCCUGAAGUUAUAAUAAACAGAAUUGUCAGCAUUCCUCCUCCUCACCCUUACUCUGGUUCGGAUAGAAUUAUUUGGACUCAGUCCGCAUCUGGUGUCUUCUCAGUUCGUAGUGCCUAUUGGCGUUUGAAAGAGAAUUCUUGGAAUCCUCAGGAGGAUUACUGGAAGAUUGUUUGGAAAUAUCAAGGUCCUCAGAGAGUACGAGUCUUCCUUUGGCUUGCUUUCAAUCAAAAACUUCUUACAAAUUCGGAACGAGCUAGGAGGGGAAUCUAUCAUUGUAGCUCUUGUUCUAUAUGCGGACAUGAUAUUGAAGACUUGGUCCAUGUGCUUAGAGAUUGUCCUUCCGCGCAAGAUGUGUGGCGGCUUGUGAUUCCUGAUCAGUUAAAACAAAGGUUUUUUUCCAUUUCUUUUCAGGAUUGGCUUUUUCUUAACCUUUAUUUUAAUGAAAGAUUGCAGGAUUAUGGUCUCACGUGGUCAUGCCUGUUUGGAUUAGUCGCUUGGCGUAUAUGGAAGAAUAGAAAUCUAUACAUUUUCCAGCAUUUAUCUUGGACAGCAACGGAAGUAGUACAAGUCUCUAGUUGUUGGGGCCGUCACUACACCUUCCAUACUGAAGAUCAAUCUAAGAGCAAGCCGGGCUCUUCCUUGAUGAUCAAUUCAGCUGACAAUUGGGUGUUUUUAUUCACUGACGGAGCUGUAGCAAGAGAUUCUGGCUAUGCUGCAUCAAGAGGAGUGGCUCAGGACCGAGAUGGAAAUUGGAUAGUGGGUUUUAACCGAUUCCUUGGCAUGUGCUCCCCUUUCGAAGCAGAAGUUUGGGCUAUUCUUGACGGGAUCCUCAUUCUACUUAAUAAGGGCUAUAAACGUUUCACUAUUAUGACAGAUAAUCUGGAAGUUGCUCAGAUCUUGUCUAAUAUGGAAUUGGAAGACUCAGGGAUUACUGUGCUCCGAAGAACUCUUCGUAUUUUGCAUUCAGCAGGGGAGUGGAGGAUAAAGCACAUUCCAAGAAUUCAAAAUUUCGUAACAGAUCGUCUUGCUAAACUCGGUUUAAGUUGGAAAUCAAGCUUAAAAAUUAUUGAUGAGGCUCCCAAGGAUCUUUUAGAUUUAAUUCAUGCAGAUAAAACGAAUGGUUGCUUUAUGUAACUGUUGUUUUUAUUUCACCAAAAAAAAAAUUUAGACAUUUGCAUGCAACGCCAAAGACUUAAGAUAUUUCAUAUUAUCAUUUUUCUUGAUCCAAAGUGAACGAUAUUAAAAAUUUCAAAUUAGAACGUUAUUUAUAAUUUGAGAACUUAAUUAGAAUAUUAUGAAAUCUAGAAACUUAAUUUCAAAUUCGAUGUAUAAUUUUGAGAUGUAAGGUGAAUUAAGUCUUUAAUAAAGCAUAACAUAUUUAUAAGUUCGAUACUCAUUAACAAAUUGAUUUUAUAUUAUAAGUUACAUUUUAAUUAUUUUUGGUGCUAUAACAAAAUUUCCUUAAAAGAUUGCAUUGUAAUUUUUUUAUUUAAAAAAUUAAAUGAUGUAGAAAUAAUUAUGUAUAACAUAAAAAAUGUAAAGUUUGGUUGAGUCUAAAAUAUUUGUAACAUAAAUUUUUUCUACAAAGUCCAUACUUAAAAUAUAUAAUUUAAACUCAAAAUAUCGGUUGAUUAUCAUCUUUGCUUAUUUUAUGCGUAGUGAUGGUUCUAAUAAGAUUUAAAGUACAUUAUUAUUGCUAUAAAUUUGUCUUUUUAAAUGACUUAGAUAUAUAGACUAAGGAGUACUGGGCAAGACAACUAAACCCUUAGCAUUAAUAAGAAAAAUGACAUCAAUAAUAUAUUAAAAUCUCAUUCUUCAAAAUUAAGUGUGAAUUUAACAACUUAUUUCUAAUACUAAUAAUAAAUCAUUUAUGCUUUAAAUAAUAAUAAUUAUUAUUAUUAUCCCUUGCCGGAAAAGGUUGACCAACAAGACUUAACUAAAGUGGUGGAACAUUAUUUUGAUGCAGUAUUGAUUGGGCAAAAAGACUUCGAAAUUGCAUGCAAUGCCAAACAUGAAAACUACACAUUUGUCUAUAAAUAUGUUGUAUGCCAAGCACACUCCUUCUUCACACCCACCCAACAUGAACACUCUUCAUUUCCUUAUUUCACUCUUCCUCUUCUCAUGCUUCCUUUCUCUUGUCUUGUCUUUUUCACCUCCUCAAACUCAUCUCCCUAAGCAAUGCCUUGAUGACCAGAGAGCUCCUCUCCUGCAAUUGAAGCAUCAUCUUUACUAUGCCCCUAAUUUUACUUUCUCUUCCAAAUUUGACCUCUGGGAUGUCAACAAUCCUUGUUGUUCUUGGGAAGGAGUCACUUGUGAUGCUUAUGGUCAUGUCGUUGGCAUUGAUCU